This 797-nucleotide small RNA is filed under the name Pan troglodytes (chimpanzee). Its description in RNAcentral is "processed transcript". Lineage: Eukaryota; Metazoa; Chordata; Mammalia; Primates; Hominidae. The record is from RNAcentral.
GGAGCCCCCUCCUCGGCAUGUACCAGCGAUUCUAAGGACCCCUCUCUCCGCCCGGCUCAGCCUGUCCGAAAAGGGGCUUCACAGUUCAUGGGAAAUGUAUACCACCCACCUACAUACCAUGACAUGCUUCCUGCUUUUAUGUGUUCGCCGAAGUCAUCAGAAAACCAGGGUACAGUGGAACGAGGCUCUUUUCCCCUUCCUCAGCUCCGCCUUGAACCUCGAGUUCCUUUUAGACAGUUCCAGAUGAAUGACCAAGACGGAAAAGAAAACAGGCUGGGAUUGUCUCGCCCACUCCGCCCACUAAGGCAGCUGGUGGAGCGGGCACCACGGCCCACCAUUAUCAAUGCGGAAAACCUGAAGGGCCUUGACGAUCUGGACGCCGAUGCCGAUGAUGGCUGGGCAGGUGGGCAGAGAAGCAUGGGUGGUUUAGACGGGCAGGACCAAAGUCCAUCUGUGCUUACCAGGGAUGGAAACCCCCUGGCACCACCGUGUGUUUUCCCUUGGCAAGAUAGGGAUGAGGAGCCGGACAGGGAAGCAGCCCUGAUGCCCUCCUUCCUCAUUUACUCCCUGACUAGCGGUUCCUUCCUGGCCAAGCCAUUAGCUUCUUUUGGUCUUUAGUCUUGAUCUUAGAGUUUUGUUGUUAACUUUUUAAAAAUUAUUGAUGAUGCAAAAUUUAAACAAAAAAGAAAAUAGCUCCCAACCACUGAUCACUCAGGUUCAAUAAGUACCAAUGUUCUGCCAUUCAGUUUUUGUUUGUUUUAAUUUAAUUUUUUUCCAAGAGACAGGGUCUCAGCUAC